This 253-nucleotide ribosomal RNA is filed under the name uncultured bacterium. Its description in RNAcentral is "partial 16S ribosomal RNA". It matches the Rfam family "Bacterial small subunit ribosomal RNA", at positions 524 to 776 of the family's 1533-position model. The record is from RNAcentral.
UACGUAGGGGGCAAGCGUUGUUCGGAUUCAUUGGGCGUAAAGGGUGUGUAGGUGGCGCGCUAAGUCGGGUGUGAAAUUUCGGAGCUUAACUCCGAAACUGCAUUCGAUACUGGCGUGCUUGAGGACUGGAGAGGAGACUGGAAUUCAUGGUGUAGCAGUGAAAUGCGUAGAGAUCAUGAGGAAGACCAGUGGCGAAGGCGGGUCUCUGGACAGUUCCUGACACUGAGACACGAAGGCCAGGGGAGCAAACGGG